Molecule: small nuclear RNA, 183 nt
Organism: Heterocephalus glaber (naked mole-rat)
Lineage: Eukaryota; Metazoa; Chordata; Mammalia; Rodentia; Bathyergidae
Gene: U4
Rfam family: U4 spliceosomal RNA
About the family: U4 small nuclear RNA (U4 snRNA) is a component of the major U2-dependent spliceosome. The structure of U4 snRNA from yeast and human has been reported.
Source: Ensembl
AGCUUUGCGCAAUGGCAGUAUUGUAGCCAAUGAGGUUUAUCCAAGGUGCAAUUAUUGCUAACUGAAAAUAAUAACAAACAAAUUGGUUCAUUAAUUGCAAUAAAUGUAUCAUACCGACAUACGAAUUUACAACAGGAAAUGGGGUUUGAAGUUCAUGGGAACUUUGUGCUAUCUUCUAUAUGU